This 422-nucleotide unclassified non-coding RNA is filed under the name fungal sp. RNAcentral's name for it is "partial internal transcribed spacer region". The stretch from base 1 to 46 matches the Rfam family "Eukaryotic small subunit ribosomal RNA", at positions 1786 to 1831 of the family's 1831-position model. The record is from RNAcentral. Lineage: Eukaryota; Fungi.
AAGUCGUAACAAGGUUUCCGUAGGUGAACCUGCGGAAGGAUCAUUAACACGUAUCCACGUAUCAACCAACUGUGAACCUGUUCUCACCUUCGCCCCUGCGCCUGAGGAUGAAUUGGCAAUCGAAUUGGAGAGUCAUGAAAUGUGGGGAGUCGCAACCUUUCGUUAGGCCGACUCGCUCUCCUUCGAUCACCUGGAAGCAAUUCCUAACAAUUGUACUUCAAGCGUCAGGCAAACCCUUUCUGCUCUAUUUAGCUUCUCCCUUUCAUCGGGCUAAGAGCGGAAUAUUCCAUUCACACCUUUCACCCCCUUUUUGCUAGUUGACUUUUAUAUGUUGUCUGAUUCAUCUUCAUUGAUGAGCCAUUCACACGUUUAUUACUUGAACGUUAAAAUUACAACUCUUAGCAAUGGAUAUCUUGGUUCUC